ACGGGGUGCAGCAGGCGCGAAAACUCCGCAAUACACGAAAGUGUGACGGGGGGACCCCAAGUGCUCUCGCGCAAGCGAGUGCUUUUGUGAAGUGUAAAUAGCUUUACGAAUAAGAGCUGGGUAAGACCGGUGCCAGCCGCCGCGGUAACACCGGCAGCUCGAGUGGUGAUCAUUAUUAUUGGGCCUAAAGCGUCCGUAGCCUGUUUGAUAAGUCCUUGGGCAAAUCCUGCCGCUUAACGGUAGGAAUUCUGAGGAUACUGUCAGACUUGAGGCCGAGAGAGGUCGGAGGUACUCCUGGGGUAGCGGUGAAAUGCUAUAAUCCUAGGGGGACCACCAGUGGCGAAAGCGUCCGACCAGAGCGGGCCUGACGGUAAGGGACGAAAGCCAGGGGCGCGAACGGGAUUAGAUACCCCGGUAGUCCUGGCCGUAAACGCUGUGGGCUAGGUGUUGCAUGCUCUACGAGGGCGUGCAGUGCCGAAGAGAAGUUGAUAAGCCUACCGCCUGGGAAGUACUAUCGCAAGAUAGAAACUUAAAGGAAUUGGCGGGGGAGCACCACAAGGGGUGAAGUCUGCGGUUUAAUUGGAUUCAACGCCGGAAAUCUCACUGGAAGCGACGGCAGUAUGAUGGCCAAGCUGAUGACUUUGCUUGACGAGCCGAGAGGAGGUGCAUGGCCGUCGUCAGCUCGUACCGUAAGGCGUCCUGUUAAGUCAGGCAACGAGCGAGACCCGUACCCUUAUUUGUCAGUUAGUCCCCACGGG
RNAcentral lists this ribosomal RNA (758 nucleotides) under uncultured archaeon. RNAcentral's name for it is "bacterial SSU rRNA". It matches the Rfam family "Archaeal small subunit ribosomal RNA", at positions 325 to 1084 of the family's 1478-position model. The record is from RNAcentral.